RNAcentral lists this ribosomal RNA (483 nucleotides) under uncultured bacterium. Its description in RNAcentral is "partial 16S ribosomal RNA". It matches the Rfam family "Bacterial small subunit ribosomal RNA", at positions 28 to 507 of the family's 1533-position model. The record is from RNAcentral.
GACGAACGCUGGCGGCGUGCUUAACACAUGCAAGUCGAACGCUGAAGCUCAGCUUUUGUUGGGUGGAUGAGUGGCGAACGGGUGAGUAACACGUGAGUAACCUGCCCCCUUCUUUGGGAUAACGCCCGGAAACGGGUGCUAAUACUGGAUAUUCACUGGUCUUCGCAUGGGGGUUGGUGGAAAGGGUUUUUCUGGUGGGGGAUGGGCUCGCGGCCUAUCAGCUUGUUGGUGGGGUGAUGGCCUACCAAGGCUUUGACGGGUAGCCGGCCUGAGAGGGUGACCGGUCACAUUGGGACUGAGAUACGGCCCAGACUCCUACGGGAGGCAGCAGUGGGGAAUAUUGCACAAUGGGCGCAAGCCUGAUGCAGCGACGCCGCGUGAGGGAUGGAGGCCUUCGGGUUGUGAACCUCUUUCGCUCAUGGUCAAGCCGCAACAAUGGUUGUGGUGAGGGUAGUGGGUAAAGAAGCGCCGGCUAACUACAUG